Molecule: ribosomal RNA, 468 nt
Filed under: uncultured bacterium
Lineage: Bacteria
Description: partial 16S ribosomal RNA
Rfam family: Bacterial small subunit ribosomal RNA
Source: RNAcentral
GACGAACGCUGGCGGCGUGCUUAACACAUGCAAGUCGAACGGAAAGGCCCUGCUUUUGUGGGGUGCUCGAGUGGCGAACGGGUGAGUAACACGUGAGUAACCUGCCCUUGACUUUGGGAUAACUUCAGGAAACUGGGGCUAAUACCGGAUAGGAGCUCCUGCUGCAUGGUGGGGGUUGGAAAGUUUCGGCGGUUGGGGAUGGACUCGCGGCUUAUCAGCUUUUUGGUGGGGUAGUGGCUUACCAAGGCUUUGACGGGUAGCCGGCCUGAGAGGGUGACCGGCCACAUUGGGACUGAGAUACGGCCCAGACUCCUACGGGAGGCAGCAGUGGGGAAUAUUGCACAAUGGGCGGAAGCCUGAUGCAGCAACGCCGCGUGCGGGAUGACGGCCUUCGGGUUGUAAACCGCUUUCGCCUGUGACGAGGCGUGAGUGACGGUAAUGGGUAAAGAAGCACCGGCUAACUACGUG